Molecule: long non-coding RNA, 3892 nt
Organism: Heterocephalus glaber (naked mole-rat)
Lineage: Eukaryota; Metazoa; Chordata; Mammalia; Rodentia; Bathyergidae
Source: Ensembl
UGCACGCUCCACUGCCCACCGCCGCACUCAGCGAGAGGGGCCGCAUUCAGGCCUGUCCGCUCGGAUUAGCAGGCGCUCACGACUCAAUGUGCCGCGAUAUUUCAUGUCCAGCGCAGCGGCUGGCCCCGGGCAGUCAUGCUGGGCACAAAGCUGAAACUGCGGCCAGAACUGGAUAUUGAAAAGGUCCAGCUGCACCUGCUGGUCCAGCUCCAGGCAGCCUGUCUGCUCUGUCCACCUGCCCGGUACCUACUCCACACCUUCUGGACCCGUGUACCUCACAAGAAGUCUUCAAGUCAGGUGCUGUUGGCCCUCCAACUCUGUUCUGUUCCUCUUUCUUUCUUUCUUUCUUUCUUUGUAAGUUGAUUUGGUUAUUUAAACCCUUUGCAUUUGGGGUUGAAUAUUCAAAUCAGGUUUUUAAUUUCUACCUCAAAUACAAAUCCUCUGUGAUUUGUAUUGGUAUUGCAUUAAAAUUAAAGAUGACUUUGGGGAGAAUUUAGUGUUCUGACCCAUGAAUGGGGCUCUCUCUCCACUUAUUGAGGUCUUUGAUUACCCUCAGAAAUUUUUAAUAAGGCCUCUACAUAUUUUGUCAAGUUUAUCUCUAAGUAUAUCUGAUGUUGGAAGUGAUGUUCUUAGAUUUCAAUUUCCAGUCAUUUGUUGCUAGUGUAUAGAAACGCAAUUGGUUUUUAUGUGUCAACCCUUGUAUUUUGUAGUUUUUGUAGGUAUUUUGAAUAUGCCAUAGGAUUUUCAGCGAGGAUAAUUAUGUCACCUACAAAUUAGGAGUUUUAUUUCGUCAGAUCAUUUGUUACCAAGUGGAAGGGAAGUGGGCAGAGUGGACAUCGCUGUCUUGUCCCAGUAUCAGGACCACGCUUCAGCCUUUCAUUGUUGAGUGCUGUGUUACCUGAAGCCUGGGCAUGUGCCCUUCAGCAAAUUACAGAAGUUCCCUUCUUGGACAGUUCAUUGAAAAUUUUGAUCAGGAAAGAAUGUUAAAUUUUGUAAAUGCUUUUUCUGGAGCUAUUAAGAUCUUGUGGGUUGUCCAUUUUGGACUAUUAGUGGUGAACUGUACUACCUAACAUUUCUAUUUUUUUUUUUUUGGUACCAGGUAUCAAACUCCAGACCUUGGGCUUGUGAGGCAGGUGGUGGAACCACUGAGCUAAAUCCUGGGCCCUAACAUUUCUAAUUUUUUUUGUUUUGUUUUUUUGGUACGAGGGAUUGAAUUCAGGACCUUGCGCUUGCAAGGCAGGCUCCGGAACCACUGAGUUAAAUCCCUGGCCCAACAUUUCUAAUGUUAAACCAGCCAUCGUUCCUGGGAUAAACCCAUCAUGGUUUAGUAUCUUUUGGAUGCCUUUUUUUGGGCUCAGUUUGCCUGUUUUUGUUAAGAAUUUCUGCAUCUAUCCAAGUAUAGUGGUGCACAGGAAGAUCACAAGUUUGAGGCCAGCCUGAGCAACUUAACCAUCCCAUGUCUCAAAGUUUAAAACUAAAAAAAAAACAGUUCUGGGCCGGGGAUUUAGCUCAGUGGUUCCACUGCCUGCCUUGCAACCGCAAGGACCCAAGUUCAAUCCCUGGUACCAAAAGAAUAAAUAAAUAAAUUUUUAAAAAUAAAAAGGUCCUGGGAUAUAGCUUAGUGGUAGAGUGCCCCUGGGUUCAAUCCCAGUAGCAGAGGAGGGCAAUUUCUGCACGUGUGUGACAGGUUUGUCAUUGUCUUUUCUCAUAAUGCUUGUUUGUUUUGGGCAUCAGAAUAAUGCUUGCUUCAUAAAAUGAGUUUGGAAUUAUUCCUUCCUUCUCAGUUUUCUGAAAGAGAUUGUGUGGAACUGGUGUUAUUUUAAUUACAGAUUCAAUUCCUUGAAUGUGGAGCUAUCCAGGGUCCCCCUUUCUUUUUGAUGAGCAAUAGAGGUUUGUAUUUCACAGAGCUCAUCCAUUUACUCUAAGUUCGCACACUUCCUGGCUUAGAGUUGCUCCUGAUAGUCCCUGAUUGCCCUUCUGCGCUGGACUCUGCGAUGCCCCUUCUUCCACUCCCAGUGUCACUGAUCUGUGACUUUCACUGUGGUGACCCCAUGAUCCAUGUGGCUCCUCGGUCGGUCUCUAUGGCCCAGUUUUCUCCGUGUUGUGGUCCCUACCCUUCCUCCCUGUGUGCUGAGGACCCUGCCCUGGUGACAGGCACUGUGGCUCUGACCUGCAGGGAGCUGGUUUUCCCUGGACUCUGGGCCGUGUCCUGUGUGCAGGUUUCCUGGGAGCAGCGAGCCUUGCGCUUCCUUUCAGCCUUGCCCAGUGGGACCAGGGCAGCGUGGAAUCCGGGGGCAGCAGCAUGCUGCAUCAGCGGCACGGGCCUCGUCUGGCAAUCGACGCCCUGCAAAGGAGGGUGUUUUCAAGCUCGAGCUUUGGGAGCAGGGGUUCAUGUCUGGUGUGAGGCCUGGUAACAUUUCUCUCCCACCUUGGGGGGUGACUUCCUCGGCGCUGGGCGGCUCCCCAUGCCCCAUGCUGGCUGAGGUCCAGGUAGGUUCUCAGGGGCCCUUGCUGGGUGCGUGUUCGGGCUCCGUGCUGCUUACCACACACCGGGCAUGGGGCUUCCAUGCCCUUUCCCAGCCUGGUCACUGCCUCAAGUGGCAGUGCCCAGUCCUUAGGAAUUCCUGGGGGAGAGUGAGCUUGGGCCUGCUACUCUAGAGCAUCACCUUUCUACUAAAGCCAUCCACACGUAUUCAUGUCCGGGUGAUGGGGUUCGCUGUGAUAGUCCCACACAUGCACACGCUGUCCUUUGAUCAUGUUUGUCCACCUCAGGAAGAGGCAUAUUUAAUGACUUCGAGAACAAGAAUGGAGCAGCUGUUGGCACCACUUCCACAGCACACCGGGAUCCCAGUCGGGCAAGAAGUCCAAAGUAUGAGAGUUGGUACCGUGAAAAAAGGCUGUUUCCAAACAUGAGUUUGUACGUAGGAAACACCUACAGGAAGCUGUUGGAAUUAGCAGGAUGUGAAAAUCGCUCGGGAUAAGGGAAGAGAUUGGCCGGUCUGACUCAGACCAAUAACUUCUGUGCAAGCAAGGACAUCUGUGAGGCCCAGAAGCACUGUUUGCUGCACACCACUUACAGCUCUGCACUGGAGCAGAAAGCACUCACACGAGACCCCCAAAGCAAACACACAGCAGAAGACGAGCCAGUCUGCAUGUGAGCAGGACCUGGGCCACACUCCCCAGAGCACCUGAACAACUGCUCAGCACAACCCGCCAGGGAGAUGCAAACUAAACCAUGAAGAAAGAUCCCCGACCCAUCAGCCAGCACGCCGGGCUGGCACAGUGGGCGUGGCUCAGACCCAGAGCAGCACAAAGGUACCCUGCCCGAGCAGGGAUCGAACUCAGGACCUUGUGCUUUCAAGGAAGGCGGCAGAACCACUGAGCUAAAUCCCCAGCCCUCAGAAAAGCAUAUCUCAAGGAAACCGGGCCAACCACGAGGAGAGGCAACUGGUGACCUAAGGAACGAACUGUUCUGAGCACAGCUUUGAACCUGUCCUGCGUCCUCCCAGCCACACAGUCUCCUCACUGCAUGCAUUGCCCCAUGGCCUGUGGCACCGUGGCGGCCCGUGUGGUUCCUCUGACACAGCAAGACAGGUUCCCUGGCAGCAUCAACAAGAUGUUCUGCCUGCUGUCUGCAUUUCUGCCUCGAACCUGGAGGGCCCGUUUCUCCUGAGCUCCGCUUCUUCUAGAUGUGGCAUGCGUCUGGAAGCGGCCAGGCCUGAGUCAUAUCCAGACCUUGGCCGUGGACAGUCAGGAGAGAUGUUUUACUUUAAAACAUAACGUGUACCAGAAGUUCACAGAAGCUUUCUCUUCAGGCCUGCGCUUUUUUUGCUUCAUCUUCUUAAUUUUAAUCUGUGUUUCCUUUUUCUCAGUUAAAACGCCUGAUACAUCA